RNAcentral lists this long non-coding RNA (2016 nucleotides) under Homo sapiens (human). RNAcentral describes it as "HSALNT0341911". Lineage: Eukaryota; Metazoa; Chordata; Mammalia; Primates; Hominidae. The record is from RNAcentral.
CUCCAUUGGUAAGAUUUAGUUUCAGUUUGAAAUAUUUAAAAACAUUUGAAUUAAAAAUUGCCAUCUCUCUUUGCAUACAGUAAAACAAUAACUUCUGGCUAUAUUUGUAGAACAUCUUUAUGUGCACCAAUUUAUACAUGUAUUUUGCUUUUUUACAAACCUCAUAUGUGAAACAGCAUUUACAAAAUAGAUGCAUUAGGGGAAUAGUAACUUACGAAUUAAAAUAUUUUUGCUUUACUAAAUAAUUCACCACACGUUUCUUUAAAUAUCUAGCUUUUCUAGUGUAUUUUGCAUGUGUAGUUCAUUUAAAACCUUCCUUUAUUUUAUGGUAAUUAUAUGUUGCUAGUGAAAUAACUUUUUUUUUUUUUUUUUUUUGAGACAGAGUCUUGCUCUGUCUCCCAGGCUGGAGUGUAGUGGCGUGAUCUUGACUCACUGCAACCUCUGCCUCCCAGGCACAAGUGAUCCUCGCGCCUCAGCCUUCCAAGUAGCUGGGAUUACAGGUUACAUUUAGUAAAACUUUGUGAAAAUUAUCGUCAUUUCUCUCACCUCUCAUCUUUGGAACGGGAGAUGACUUUUUGCACCAAAAUGGUUAGGUUUCUUCUUCUAACGAAUUAAUUUGUGGUUUAAGAAUAGCGAGACUAUGAGGUAGAGAUGUAUUAGGAAUUGAAAUGAACUUUUGGUGAACUGCACUGUUUCAUAAGCUAUAACCCAGGUUUAUUAUUUAAAUAGUAAAGUGUUUGAGAUUAUUUUUCUGUUACUUCAUUAUCUCUCACCCUUUCCUAAUGCAGACUUCUUUUUAAGAUAAUAAAGAUGAAUUAUAAUAGCUGAGGAAGGAGAAGAAUGCAAGCUCUGAAAUGACAUCCUUAAAUGCUGAUACUGGUUACAACCUCUUUACCUCUCUGAGGAAAUUGUAACAGUGUGUCUUUUAGGGUGUUUUUAUUUUACCAGCCCUUAAGAAAGAUCUCUAAUACGUUUUAAUGCUUUUUUUUAUAAUUUCAAGUUGAAGUGUUUUUAAAAACACCUUGUUUUGUAAUGUUUUGAAUCUCUUGAGAUGUAUUUACCCCACUAGAUACAUAUUUGCCACUGGUUAGUUCUCCAUCUAAGCUCAAGAGGUUAUUCAUCUCUCUUUAGAUUCCAGUGGUUUUUCUUUUAACUUCCAGGUAAAAUAGAAACUGCUAUGGUAUACAACCAAAUUUUGGGGUUAAACAUAAUCAGAAAAGAAAAUCCAGUUAAAUUUAUGAAGUGAGAUUUUCAGAUCCUAGAUCUUGAAUAUAGCAAAGGUCUUUUCAUCUUGAUGGCCCCAAAGCUUGUUGGUCAUAGUCUAUUUCUGGCCAUUAUCUUCUUAAAUAAUCUAUUUUUAAGCCCUCAUUUAUUUUUGGUUUUGGAUGAGGAAAGUCAUGUUUUCUAAGUCCUCUCCCCUAAUAAAACCUACCCAACAAUAGUGCUUUGAAAAGUGGUAGUUAUCUUGAAGAUACUCUUGCCAAAUGCAAAGAUAAACAUUCUUUUUGUCUGCUUUAUAAAUAUGAAAUAUGCCAGAUCUAUAGUAUUUUAAUGUGCAUCUACUUUAAAUGAGUCAUCUUGGGGUUUUUAUAAUUCCCUUACAUUCUUGCCCCUCUACACUUGAAAUAACAAAAUACCUUAAUUUUAUAGAUUAGUUCUCUUAUAGUAGACAGGCAGCUAUAUGCAGCAAAACCAAUAAAGUUAUUUUUCAACUUUCAUAGUUGUAAAAUAUUUUAUAGCAAUACAAAACAGCUAAGAAAACAUGCCACAUUUUAUUUUAGCAUUUUCAAAUAAUUUGUUUUUGGUGUAAGCACAGGAUAAAAAAGGAGAGCGUCAAAGAAAAGAGACAUAACACCUAACAUUCAUAAAAAUUAACAAAGUAUAUUUUGGAUGAUAUUUUUACAGGAAAUAUUUUAAAUAAGUUGGUAGAAUUUUUAAAAUGGUACUGUAUUAGCUAAUAAAAUAUUCAGUACAAAUAUAUGUUUGGAUUUAUGCAUUAAAAAACUAAUAAAAUUA